RNAcentral lists this ribosomal RNA (460 nucleotides) under uncultured bacterium. RNAcentral's name for it is "partial 16S ribosomal RNA". It matches the Rfam family "Bacterial small subunit ribosomal RNA", at positions 338 to 795 of the family's 1533-position model. The record is from RNAcentral.
CCUACGGGGGGCAGCAGUGAGGAAUAUUGGUCAAUGGACGAGAGUCUGAACCAGCCAAGUAGCGUGAAGGAUGACUGCCCUAUGGGUUGUAAACUUCUUUUAUAUGGGAAUAAAAUGUUCCACGUGUGGGAUUUUGUAUGUACCAUAUGAAUAAGGAUCGGCUAACUCCGUGCCAGCAGCCGCGGUAAUACGGAGGAUCCGAGCGUUAUCCGGAUUUAUUGGGUUUAAAGGGAGCGUAGGUGGAUUGUUAAGUCAGUUGUGAAAGUUUGCGGCUCAACCGUAAAAUUGCAGUUGAAACUGGCAGUCUUGAGUACAGUAGAGGUGGGCGGAAUUCGUGGUGUAGCGGUGAAAUGCUUAGAUAUCACGAAGAACUCCGAUUGCGAAGGCAGCUCACUGGACUGCAACUGACACUGAGGCUCGAAAGCGUGGGGAGCAAACAGGAUUAGAUACCCUUGUAGUC